This 440-nucleotide ribosomal RNA is filed under the name uncultured bacterium. Its description in RNAcentral is "partial 16S ribosomal RNA". It matches the Rfam family "Bacterial small subunit ribosomal RNA", at positions 338 to 795 of the family's 1533-position model. The record is from RNAcentral.
CCUACGGGAGGCAGCAGUGGGGGAUAUUGCACAAUGGGGGAAACCCUGAUGCAGUGACGCCGCGUGGGUGAAGAAGCGCCUCGGCGCGUAAAGCCCUGUCAGCAGGGAAGAAAAUGACGGUACCUGAAGAAGAAGCCCCGGCUAACUACGUGCCAGCAGCCGCGGUAAUACGUAGGGGGUAAGCGUUAUCCGGAUUUACUGGGUGUAAAGGGGGCGCAGACGGCGGUGCAAGCCAGGAGUGAAAGCCCGGGGCCCAACCCCGGGACUGCUCUUGGAACUGCGUGGCUAGAGUGCAGGAGGGGCAGGCGGAAUUCCUGGUGUAGCGGUGAAAUGCGUAGAUAUCAGGAGGAACACCGGUGGCGAAGGCGGCCUGCUGGACUGCAACUGACGUUGAGGCCCGAAAGCGUGGGGAGCAAACAGGAUUAGAUACCCCUGUAGUC